GACAGAGGAGGCAAGCGUUGUCCGGAAUCACUGGGCGUAAAGGGUCUGUAGGCGGUGCGGUGCGUCGGCACUGAAAGCCUCACGCUUAACGUGGGGAGGGGUGUCGAUACGACCGCGCUCGAGGUAUCGGGACGUACGGAGAAUUCCGCGUGUAGCGGUGAAAUGCGUAGAGAUGCGGAGGAAUGCCGGUGGGGUAGCCGCCGUGCGACCGAUUACCUGACGCUGAGGGACGACAGCGUGGGGAGCAAACCGG
Molecule: ribosomal RNA, 253 nt
Filed under: uncultured bacterium
Lineage: Bacteria
Description: partial 16S ribosomal RNA
Rfam family: Bacterial small subunit ribosomal RNA
Source: RNAcentral